Nannospalax galili (Upper Galilee mountains blind mole rat) is the source of this 135-nucleotide small nucleolar RNA. The record is from Ensembl. Lineage: Eukaryota; Metazoa; Chordata; Mammalia; Rodentia; Spalacidae.
AGAAGUGGAAAGUUCUGCUUGUGUUCUCACACUGACUGUACACAAAGAGGAAGCAGAAUCAACUUAUCCUGUGUACACCUCAGUUCUGGUCCUGUGCUUGUUCUCUGGGUCUGAACUGGACAUGGGAAGACGUGG